UACGUAGGGUGCGAGCGUUAAUCGGAAUUACUGGGCGUAAAGCGUGCGCAGGCGGUUGGUUAAGUCAGAUGUGAAAGCCCCGGGCUCAACCUGGGAAUUGCAUUUGAAACUGGCCAACUAGAGUACGUGAGAGGGGGGUAGAAUUCCAAGUGUAGCGGUGAAAUGCGUAGAGAUUUGGAGGAAUACCAGUGGCGAAGGCGGCCCCCUGGCACGAUACUGACGCUCAGGUGCGAAAGCGUGGGGAGCAAACAGG
Molecule: ribosomal RNA, 253 nt
Filed under: uncultured bacterium
Lineage: Bacteria
Description: partial 16S ribosomal RNA
Rfam family: Bacterial small subunit ribosomal RNA
Source: RNAcentral